GGACUUUCUUAAAAUACAUCCUCUGAUAGCAACUAUCUCUUUUUACUUAUAGAUGAUUAAUUCUAAAUGCUUCAUGUAAUUGAGGGACAUUAUGAGAAGACUAGAAAGUUUCUCAUCAGAUAAUCCUAAGGGCUGUAACUUCUACUUGCCAUAAACAAAGUAUAAUUAAGAGUGAGUAGCAAUUGGUUUGGGGGAGUCUUAGUUAUGUAUGAAACUUUCUUUUGUUUCUCAUGAUGUAUGUAAAAUGUUUGCAGAAGGAUGGUAGAAAUUGUUACUAAUGAAUUUAGAGUGGUUUGGGAGAAUACACUGAUACUUCCUCAUUUGAAAAUUAUAAGGAGUUAAAAGGGGAACUAAGAACCAGUAGUGGCUGGCCUCUAGCUUUUCAAUACUUUGUAAGUGUUCUUGGUUAUGUUUUGAACACUUAAAUUUCUCAACAAAUGGCUAUGUCUAUAUUUAUGUAGGGGCCACUCUUGCCCUACUUGCAUGCCACUUUCACACACUUUUAACUGAAAUCGGUGUGAAUUCUGUAUGCAUAAGGGAUGUAUUAAAGAUGCGGGAUCAUUAACGCUAUAUUGUUGCAUACUAUUUUUCAUAUGCCUUACAAUAUUUUCUGGGACGUUAUUAAAAUGAAAGCAUUUUAUUGCCAAAAUAAAUCUAUGUUGUUAUUUAUAAUCUGCAUUAGCAGUAGAAAAAUAAUGUAGCAAAAACAUAUUGUACAGUACAAAAUUAUAAAAUAUAUAUUUUGCCAAUAAUAUAAAAAUAGAUUGAGGAGAAAGAAGCACAUUUGUUAUAGCACAAACUUAUAACAAAAUCCACUGUUAAAUUUGGCAGUCAUAUUUUUUAAAAGUAUGUCGAUUUAGUUCUAUCAGAUUUACUUCAUCUACCAUCUUUUUAACUUGCUGCUUGAUACUGUUCCAGCAAUUUAUUUCAUAGCCUUGCAAUCUGUGGAUGUAAUUUCUUUUGUUUUAUUCCCUUCCAUAAAGUUUAUUAAAUUUUAUUUUGUGAUAACACUCAUACUAUAUUUUCUCUUCUUAUUUCUUCUCUUUCAAUAACAACAGCAGAAAGUCACAGCAAGUGAGCUCAUAGGGCUCCUCUGAAUUUUGGACAUGUUUGAAAUUUUCGUAUUUUUCACAGCCUCAAGUCAGAAAGAUCAAUAAAGAUGUCCCAACCACAAAGAAUUAUAUUACUUAGGGAUUCUUUAGUUUGUUUUGUACUGAAUACUACUUUGAAACAUAAUUUAAAGCCAUUAGCUGUGUUUUUGUAGGGAUGGUGGGAGGGAAUAAAAAAUAAAUGUAUUAACAUAAAACAUACUAAAACAGAAAUAUGGCAAAAUGAUAUAAAAAGAUUUUUCCUACUAUUCUGAGGGCUGUUGAAAUCCCAGGCUAUUGCUAUAUCUCCAUUGACAAAGUGGGAUAAAAAAAUGCCUUUGUCAAAUAAUUUUUUUUCUUUCUUUAAAUUUUAAUUAUUUUAAUAAUGUGUCCCCUUUUAUUUUUCCUAUCUAGGUAUGUGUAGCAUUCUACAAGGCAUGCUGGGUAAAAUAUACUAUGCAAAUGUGUACAGUGCUGCAUGUUUUGUUCUCCCUCUGCUUUAGUGGCUUUAAAGAAAAAAAUGUGGUGUUAUUUUUGUGAAUAAAAACAUUUAACAAAGAAAAUGCAGAGUGCAUGCAUAGAGUAUCCUCAUUUCUAUGGAUUUGUUUUAUGGAAUUCAAAUGUGUACAAAACAACUGCAUUACUUUUUUUCUUUUAUAUAAUAAAUGAAAAAACACUGAAA
RNAcentral lists this long non-coding RNA (1770 nucleotides) under Macaca fascicularis (crab-eating macaque). RNAcentral describes it as "lncRNA (ENSMFAG00000061370.1)". The record is from RNAcentral. Lineage: Eukaryota; Metazoa; Chordata; Mammalia; Primates; Cercopithecidae.